This is an RNA transcript of Mangifera indica (mango), 1096 nucleotides long. It is a transcript of the gene named protein root UVB sensitive 6-like, with no coding region annotated. The record is from RefSeq and is a predicted model, not a curated record. Lineage: Eukaryota; Viridiplantae; Streptophyta; Magnoliopsida; Sapindales; Anacardiaceae. The transcript has 5 exons.
GUUUACCUACAUAGAUUCUUUUAUCAUUAUUGUUAUUCUUCUCAAUGACGACUCCGCUAAUCAAGCUCAAGCAGUCACCGAACUCGGCUCCGGUGCAUCAGAGGCAUUGGGCGUGCGCCUUCUCGUGCGCGAGACGAUGCGUAUCAUUGCGAAUCUAGUGACGUUGAGUGCAUCGAUCAGCGAGGCGGCCGUGGUUGUGGAUGAUGUGGGGUCGUCAUCGUUUGGAUUGGCGGAACGACCACAGUUUGUUGAGUUGAGCUUGAGGUUGAUCUGUGCAGAGGAAAUCGGCUGUCGGAGAUGGAACUACUUGGCGGAGAAAGACGGUGCUAGAAAGUUUAAGAGGAAUUCUUUCGUGUUGUUUCUUUGCAGAGUCCUCAAGCUCCUGCUGAGUUACCAGAAGGCUUUCCACAUGAUAUAUUAUGCAGAUCACCAUGGCUUCCCAAUUGUCACGUUCAUUGAUACACCUGAUGAAUGCAGGGUGAAGCAAUUGCUCACAAUUUGAGGGCCAUGUUUGGUCUUAAGAUAGAUAAGUAGUGAUACUUCAUAGUCUUUGCAUGGAUGAGUCCGUAUGAUAUGGCAAGGGCAUCUUGUGUCUGUCGAAAAUGGAGAUACACGAUUUGUAACCCUGUGUUUUGGCCUAAUGCGUGUUUAAAGGCCUGGUAGGUAACUUGUUAGUGUUUGUGAAUAUUCUCUUAAUUUAUGAUAUGUAAAUUAUUCAAAGCUUUAACUGGGCCUCUUCUAUGAAGCCUACUAAAGUGGUGGAAAACUGUCAGUUAUUAUAAUCAAAAUAUGAUGGUUCAUGGAGGAAAAUGUGGCUUUUGGGACCAAGGUUCCGCACUAAUGGUCUCUAUAUGAGUAGGAACAAAUAUAUUCGUGCAGGAUUUGCUGAGUGGAAGAUUACCAAUCCGGUUCACAUAGUAUGACUAUCAAUUCUGUAUUAAUGGCCUCAUAAUGCUCAUUUAAAAAAAAAAAAAAAAAAAUUUAGCUGUAAUUUCUUUCAUUAAUAAGUGUUGCCUGCGUUAAAACCAAAAAUUGUCUUAUUUAAUGAAAGCUUUAAGCAUUGAGAGAAAAGUAAGAUAUAUCAAAUUGUUAUAAA